RNAcentral lists this long non-coding RNA (632 nucleotides) under Daphnia magna. RNAcentral describes it as "uncharacterized LOC123475968, transcript variant X4". The record is from RNAcentral. Lineage: Eukaryota; Metazoa; Arthropoda; Branchiopoda; Diplostraca; Daphniidae.
GCUGAUUCAAUUCAGCUUCUUGUCUGCCUGUCUGGUGCUUUUUGGGUUCAGCCUCGAGCCAGUCGGGGCCGAUCGCUAGGUGCUUUCCAUAAUUUUUACGACAGAAAAAGAGUAAAACAAUUGCAAGCCUACCGCCAGAUUGCAGAUCAGAGUCAUUGACUUUGCUGAAGUCGAACAAGGAAUUGGCCUCAUUUGCCUCGUGGUCUCCGUGUGUGUAGAAUCCAGAUUUUCAAAAAGCGUGGCAGUGAUCAAGGGGCAACCACGUGUUGGCGAUUCUUCCCUGCGUCUGAGAGGAAAGCAAUGUAAUCGGGAUUGAUGUAGUACGACAACGUGGAUGCGAUUGGAUUGGAGUUGAAUCGUUUUUCUUCUUGGCGCCAUGCGAAGGUAGGACAAGUCAUAGUUCUUGUUAUUAUCGGUAAAUGUAAAAGCAUGUGAAGAUGCAUCGAGGAUGUUUUCUUCGUAUUCAAUGUGUUGCAAAUUUUCACGAUUUUUUCUCGCUGACCUAGUGUGAAUUUUUGCUAUUUGAUUUUGUGCACCAGCCAUUGCAUUUUGCCUCCACGAACUUUUUUUCGCGGUUUUAUUUCAUACUGAUGUGAUGAGAAACUUUGCCAAUAGAUGGAUUUUGUAUCUUU